AAAAUUUCGUGGGAUGGUAGCCCACCAAUCUAG
RNAcentral lists this transfer RNA (33 nucleotides) under Equus caballus (horse). RNAcentral's name for it is "partial tRNA-Asn". The record is from RNAcentral. Lineage: Eukaryota; Metazoa; Chordata; Mammalia; Perissodactyla; Equidae.